GGAGUUUGGACCGUGUCUCAGUUCCAAUGUGGGGGACCUUCCUCUCAGAACCCCUACUGAUCGUCGGCACGGUGGGCCGUUACCCCGCCGUCUACCUAAUCAGACGCAUCCCCAUCCACAAACGAUAAAUCUUUAAUCAUAAUCAGAUGUCCUCUUAUGACCACAUAAGGUAUUAAUUCGAUUUUCACCGGGCUAUUCCUUAUUUGUGGGAAGGUUGGAUACGCGUUACUCACCCGUGCGCCGGUCGCCAUCAACAGUAGCAAGCUACCGUCAUGCUGCCCCUCGACUUGCAUGUGUUAAGCCUGUAGCUAGCGUUCAUC
Molecule: ribosomal RNA, 320 nt
Filed under: uncultured Prevotella sp.
Lineage: Bacteria; Pseudomonadati; Bacteroidota; Bacteroidia; Bacteroidales; Prevotellaceae
Description: partial 16S ribosomal RNA
Source: RNAcentral